CGGAAAAAGAGGAGUGGCGAACGGGUGAGUAACACGUGGGUAACCUGCCCAUCAGAAGGGGAUAACACUUGGAAACAGGUGCUAAUACCGUAUAACAAUCGAAACCGCAUGGUUUUGAUUUGAAAGGCGCUUUCGGGUGUCGCUGAUGGAUGGACCCGCGGUGCAUUAGCUAGUUGGUGAGGUAACGGCUCACCAAGGCCA
Molecule: ribosomal RNA, 201 nt
Filed under: Enterococcus faecium
Lineage: Bacteria; Bacillati; Bacillota; Bacilli; Lactobacillales; Enterococcaceae
Description: partial 16S ribosomal RNA
Rfam family: Bacterial small subunit ribosomal RNA
Source: RNAcentral